GAAACGUGCGUCGGGAUCCCUCCUCAUUAAGCGGGUCGACCCGUCUCCGUUCCCCAUCUCCCGUCUGAGCAUCUCUCUCACCCCAAACGACACCCACCCGGCGACGGACGCAUCCGAAGUCAGCCGCCACUACGGUGGCGAUGGCGGGGUAGGAGCGCAAGGCAAUCGAUCUGGAGGAUGGGUGGAAUUUCAAGCAGAAGGGCAAAAUCUACAACCUCAUCAAUAUCCCCGAGCGCAAGCUAGAACUGCAGUUUAGUUCUACAGGAAAAAUUGGGAGCCUUCACCAUGGCCGCCAAUAUCCAUCUACGGGUACAUCUUGCUCCCUUACUAGCUGUACAAUAUUCUAGCCUAAUGAUGUGUUUAUUAAUCCCCAAUUCAUGGAUUCUUGCUUCCUAUCCUUUCAAUUUGUUCAUGUACCAGAUUCAAGGGGCAAUUACCUCACACAUCUUGAUCUGUCAUCUCCUUUUUCCGAGUCAGGUUUGAUGAAGAUUUGGAUAACUAGAUAGAUUUAUGUGGAAAUUCUGUACACUUCGCCCGAUGAUUUUCGCGGGCAGGCGAUAGCUACAUAUGCAGCCAAAUUAAUUUACCAUGCAUGUUCUGCAAUUUUUCAUUUAAUGGUUUUAUAUCGUAUAUGGGUUAAUGAUUUCCUUAUAUAUAAAUGCUUAUGAUAAGAUUGUGUGCGUUUGUAGAUAAGGCAUCACGAAUAGCCAUAGUUGAAUAAAAGCGUCAGGUAUGAGCUACUACAUUUUUUUAAUUGAUUAUAUAUUGUGAGAAUAGCUAGAGCGCUUGUGGCCAUACUGCUCCAUGUCUUAUGUACAAUCAAUAUUGUAUCAUGAUUGCACUGUAUGCCAAGUGAAUAUGUAGUCCGCCUAGAUUAAUGUUAGGAUGCAGUAUGUGCGUUAUGAUCCCAACUAGAAAUUGGACAAGAACUGUUUUUUUGGUCCGUGAUGGUUUUUUCUCUCAGUUAUGUAAAUACGUGAAAUAUUUGAAAGGUGUUUUUAUUAUUUCAAGUAAUGCGGUAUUUAGCAAUCCCAUUUCAUAGAACUAUUUACUUCCCCAUUGCAAAAGUGUCUAUUUGACAGGUAAGAAUAGACACGGUCUAGCAUCCAUUAGAUGUGAACCCGAUUUCAGUUUUGCCAAAUGUCUUUAGAACUUCAGUCAUCACGUUAAUUAACCCUUUUUAUCUCCAUAUAUAGGGCUAUGUCUGUCAGCAUUUUCAACUUAUGAAGCCGACAAGCUAACAUUCUUAUUUAUAAAUGAAAAUAGUGAAGCCUCUCCAUGACUUUUGAGGGGAAAAAAGGUCGGCCUACAUGUUUCUUAGUUUUGAAGGAUUGCUGCCGACCGCAAGUGUAUUGGUGGUCAUCUUAAGAUCUCACCCGGAGCAGCAUCUGUUUUCUAUCUCGCUGUCACCUAUGCCUUAAGAAUUCCAGUUUAUGCAUAUUUGUUGUAUUAGUUCUCACGCUGGACAUUCAACUUAUGGUAUAUCUUCUUUCAUGAUUAAACUUUGCCGGCCGUAUAGGACGGGUU
This is a long non-coding RNA of Triticum aestivum (bread wheat), 1527 nucleotides long. RefSeq lists it as uncharacterized. NCBI's taxonomy places the organism in Eukaryota, Viridiplantae, Streptophyta, Magnoliopsida, Poales, Poaceae. The record is from RefSeq and is a predicted model, not a curated record. The transcript has 2 exons.